CGCCCGCGGGACGGGCUUGGGGCUCCCCGGCCCCCCGCGCUGGGGCCGCCGCUCUCCCCCGGCGCUCGCCGCCCGGCCGAUCGGGCCUCGGCCUCCCUCUCCGGCUGCCGCUCCUCCUCCCGUCCCCUCCCUCGCUCCUUCCCGGCCGCGCCGCCGGUGCCCUCGCCGCCGGUCGCGCCGCUCCUCCGCCCAGCGCUCCUGGGGUGCCCGCCGGCCGUGUUGCGCGCCGGGCUCACUUUUCUACCGCCGUGGGCGAGUGGCUGGUGGAUCGCACCCUUGAUAAGAGCGGGGAGCCGCCAGCCGGCCUCGGUGGCUGGGUUUUGCCUGAAACUCAGGAGAAGCCAAGAUGCCUGAGUGAGUGUCCGCCUGGCCCCGCGGAGGCUUUAUGGAGAACAUGCAUUUGUGGUGUUUUCUUUUCUCUCAAGGAGGAUCUCUCACUGGA
Eptesicus fuscus (big brown bat) is the source of this 442-nucleotide long non-coding RNA. RefSeq lists it as uncharacterized. The record is from RefSeq and is a predicted model, not a curated record. NCBI's taxonomy places the organism in Eukaryota, Metazoa, Chordata, Mammalia, Chiroptera, Vespertilionidae. The transcript has 2 exons.